CGCGGUAUUAUGCCCGUGCGAAGGUAGCAUAAUCAUUAGUCUUUUAAUUGAAGGCUGGAAUGAAGGGUUGGACGAGAAAUAAGCUGUCUUUAUCUUAAAAAUUGAAUUUAACUUUUAAGUGAGAGGGCUUAAAUGGAUUAAAGGGACGAUAAGACCCUAUAAAGUUUAUAUGUUGAACUAAUUAAAGAUAAUUAGGAAGAGUAAAGUUUAUUAUUGGUUAGGCAUUUAGUUGGGGCGACUGAAAUAUAAGUUAAUUUAACUGUUUUAAAUUAAGGUCAAAGAUGUUUGAGUUUGUGAUCCCUUUUUAGGAUGAUAGAAUAAGUUACUUUAGGGAUAACAGCGUAAUUUUUUUUGAGAGUUCUUAUCGACAAAAAAGUUUGCGACCUCGAUGUUGAAUUAAAAGUUUCUUUGUAGUGCAGCAAUUACAAUAGAAGGU
This 436-nucleotide ribosomal RNA is filed under the name Cherax preissii. RNAcentral's name for it is "partial 16S ribosomal RNA". It matches the Rfam family "Archaeal large subunit ribosomal RNA", at positions 2009 to 2645 of the family's 2987-position model. Lineage: Eukaryota; Metazoa; Arthropoda; Malacostraca; Decapoda; Parastacidae. The record is from RNAcentral.